This 351-nucleotide ribosomal RNA is filed under the name Triticum aestivum (bread wheat). RNAcentral describes it as "partial small subunit ribosomal RNA". Lineage: Eukaryota; Viridiplantae; Streptophyta; Magnoliopsida; Poales; Poaceae. The record is from RNAcentral.
AUGAAGGCAGCCUGCAUCGGUUUCAGAGGAACUUUCUGGUACCACCUCAGCUUUUUCGGCUUGCCCGAUGGAUGCCACCGCCGACACUUCUUUGCCGAGCUAUAUUAUCAUAGACAGUUCCGCCAACUAGCCGUUCAAACAUGCACCAUCUUAGAAAAGCCGUUGUGCCGCUUUAGCAGCUCAUGUGCAUUUUGUCCAGAGGAAUCCAAUAUCUUGCACCCAAGCGAUGAAGAAUUUGUGUGUGGAAAGCCAGAUCACAAAAAAGAAUUCUUCCGCAAGAAAGAUAUGCUAGUGCGGCCAUUCAAUUCUUUUAUGAUACCUCCUGAUAUAGAUAACAGCGAUGAUCCAUGA